RNAcentral lists this unclassified non-coding RNA (21 nucleotides) under Chlamydomonas reinhardtii. Its description in RNAcentral is "small RNA Cre_0339". Lineage: Eukaryota; Viridiplantae; Chlorophyta; Chlorophyceae; Chlamydomonadales; Chlamydomonadaceae. The record is from RNAcentral.
ACGGGUGACCACGGGGUGCGG